This 30-nucleotide non-coding RNA is filed under the name Homo sapiens (human). Lineage: Eukaryota; Metazoa; Chordata; Mammalia; Primates; Hominidae. The record is from RNAcentral.
UGUGAUGACAGUAAGCUCACCCUGAUAAUC